This 910-nucleotide ribosomal RNA is filed under the name uncultured bacterium. RNAcentral's name for it is "bacterial SSU rRNA". It matches the Rfam family "Bacterial small subunit ribosomal RNA", at positions 8 to 916 of the family's 1533-position model. The record is from RNAcentral.
AGAGUUUGAUCCUGGCUCAGGAUGAACGCUGGCGGCGUGCCUAACACAUGCAAGUCGAACGAGAAGCCUGAGAUGAAUACUUCGGUAGGAUUACUGGGUGGAAAGUGGCGAACGGGUGAGUAACACGUGGGUGACCUGCCCUGGAGAGGGGGAUAACCAUUCGAAAGGAUGGCUAAUACCGCAUAAUCCUAACUACAUGGGAAUGUAGAUGGGGAAAACUCCGGUGCUCUGGGAGGGGCCUGCGUCCGAUUAGCUAGUUGGUGGGGUAAAAGCCCACCAAGGCGACAAUCGGUAGCUGGUCUGAGAGGACGAUCAGCCACACGGGAACUGAGACACGGUCCCGACUCCUACGGGGGGCAGCAGUGAGGAAUAUUGCACAAUGGGGGCAACCCUGAUGCAGCAACGCCGCGUGGAGGAUGAAGGCCCUUGGGUCGUAAACUCCUUUUCUGGGGGAAGAGGAAGGACGGUACCCCAGGAAUAAGUCACGGCUAACUACGUGCCAGCAGCCGCGGUAAUACGUAGGUGGCAAGCGUUAUCCGGAAUUACUGGGCGUAAAGCGCACGCAGGCGGCUGUGCCAAGUCUGACGUGAAAGCUCCUGGCUUAACUGGGAGAGGUCGUUGGAAACUGGUCGGCUUGAGGUAAUGAGAGGGGUGUGGAAUUCCCGGUGUAGUGGUGGAAUGCGUAGAUAUCGGGAGGAACACCAGUGGCGAAAGCGGCACCCUGGCAUUGACCUGACGCUCAUGUGCGAAAGCGUGGGGAGCGAACGGGAUUAGAUACCCCGGUAGUCCACGCCGUAAACGAUGAACACUAGGUGUUGGUGGUGUUAAAGCCAUUUGUGCCGAAGCAAACGCGAUAAGUGUUCCGCCUGGGGAGUACGGCCGCAAGGCUAAAACUUAAAGGAAUUGACGG